GCUCCGUAGGUGAACCUGCGGAGGGAUCAUUACAGAGUUCAUGCCCUACCGGGUAGAUCUCCCACCCUAUGUUAUUAUUACUUUGUUGCUUUGGCGGGCCGUUAGGCUCCGGCCCGACUACCGGCCCCGGCUGGUAAGCGCCCGCCAGAGGACCCAAAUCCCUGAAUAUUAGUGUCGUCUGAGUACUAUAUAAUAGUUAAAACUUUCAACAACGGAUCUCUUGGUUCUGACAUCGAUGAAGAACGCAGC
This 249-nucleotide unclassified non-coding RNA is filed under the name plant metagenome. RNAcentral describes it as "partial contains small subunit ribosomal RNA, internal transcribed spacer 1, and 5.8S ribosomal RNA". The stretch from base 201 to 249 matches the Rfam family "5.8S ribosomal RNA", at positions 1 to 49 of the family's 154-position model. The record is from RNAcentral.